Molecule: ribosomal RNA, 469 nt
Filed under: uncultured bacterium
Lineage: Bacteria
Description: partial 16S ribosomal RNA
Rfam family: Bacterial small subunit ribosomal RNA
Source: RNAcentral
ACGCACGCUGGCGGCGUGCUUAACACAUGCAAGUCGAACGCUGAAGCACCAGCUUGCUGGUGUGGAUGAGUGGCGAACGGGUGAGUAAUACGUGAGUAACCUGCCCUUGACUCUGGGAUAAGCCCGGGAAACUGGGUCUAAUACUGGAUGCUACAUGUCACCGCAUGGUGGUGUGUGGAAAGGGUUUACUGGUCUUGGAUGGGCUCACGGCCUAUCAGCUUGUUGGUGAGGUAAUGGCUCACCAAGGCAACGACGGGUAGCCGGCCUGAGAGGGUGACCGGCCACACUGGGACUGAGACACGGCCCAGACUCCUACGGGAGGCAGCAGUGGGGAAUAUUGCACAAUGGGCGAAAGCCUGAUGCAGCGACGCCGCGUGAGGGAUGACGGCCUUCGGGUUGUAAACCUCUUUCAGCAGGGAAGAAGCCACAAGUGACGGUACCUGCAGAAGAAGCGCCGGCUAACUACGUG